AUGAAAAUGAAAACUUACUUUUUUUUUUUUUCGGUGCAACAAUUCUUUAUUUAAUAUUUAGAAUCAGUCAUUUGACGAGUAAUCUAAACAUUCUAAUUAGUAAUCUUUACAGGACUACAAAAUGCAAAACACAGAGAGGUCAGAGCUCACCAAACUCUCUAAAGUCUAAAACAAACACCACAACAGAAUAAAGGCAAAAGUAAGUUUUCAU
RNAcentral lists this unclassified non-coding RNA (211 nucleotides) under Hevea brasiliensis (rubber tree). Lineage: Eukaryota; Viridiplantae; Streptophyta; Magnoliopsida; Malpighiales; Euphorbiaceae. The record is from RNAcentral.